AGCAGCCGCGAUAAUUCCAGCUCCAAUAGCGUAUAUUAAAGUUGCUGCAGUUAAAAAGCUCGUAGUUGAAUUUCGGGACCAUCAUGUCGGUCGUGCCUCGGUACGUACUGGCAUUGUUGGUUUCUCCCUUCUGACGAACCAUGAUGUCAUUUAUUUGGUGUUGUGGGGAAUCAGGACUGUUACUUUGAAAAAAUUAGAGUGUUUAAAGCAGGCUCACGCUUGAAUACAUUAGCAUGGAAUAAUGAAAUAGGACGUUUGAUUCUAUUUUGUUGGUUUCUAGGAUCGACGUAAUGAUUAAUAGGGAUAGUUGGGGGCAUUAGUAUUCAAUUGUCAGAGGUGAAAUUCUUGGAUUUAUUGAAGACUAACUACUGCGAAAGCAUUUGCCAAGGAUGUUUUCAUUAAUCAAGAACGAAAGUUAGGGGAUCGAAGACGAUCAGAUACCGUCGUAGU
This 450-nucleotide ribosomal RNA is filed under the name uncultured Glomeromycotina. RNAcentral's name for it is "SSU rRNA". It matches the Rfam family "Eukaryotic small subunit ribosomal RNA", at positions 569 to 1024 of the family's 1831-position model. Lineage: Eukaryota; Fungi; Glomeromycota. The record is from RNAcentral.